AACGAACGCUGGCGGCAGGCCUAACACAUGCAAGUCGAGCGAGGACUUCGGUCCUAGCGGCGGACGGGUGAGUAACGCGUGGGAACGUGCCCUUUGCUUCGGAAUAGCCCUGGGAAACUGGGAGUAAUACCGGAUGAGCCCUUUGGGGGAAAGAUUUAUCGGCGAAGGAUCGGCCCGCGUUGGAUUAGGUAGUUGGUGGGGUAAUGGCCUACCAAGCCGACGAUCCAUAGCUGGUUUGCGAGUAUGAUCAGCCACACUGGGACUGAGACACGGCCCAGACUCCUACGGGAGGCAGCAGUGGGGAAUCUUAGACAAUGGGGGAAACCCUGAUCUAGCCAUGCCGCGUGAGCGAUGAAGGCCUUAGGGUUGUAAAGCUCUUUCAGCUGGGAAGAUAAUGACGGUACCAGCAGAAGAAGCCCCGGCUAACUCCGUG
This 433-nucleotide ribosomal RNA is filed under the name uncultured bacterium. Its description in RNAcentral is "partial 16S ribosomal RNA". It matches the Rfam family "Bacterial small subunit ribosomal RNA", at positions 29 to 507 of the family's 1533-position model. The record is from RNAcentral.